RNAcentral lists this ribosomal RNA (1509 nucleotides) under metagenome. RNAcentral's name for it is "bacterial SSU rRNA". It matches the Rfam family "Bacterial small subunit ribosomal RNA". The record is from RNAcentral.
AGAGUUUGAUCAUGGCUCAGGACGAACGCUGGCGGCGUGCCUAAUACAUGCAAGUAGAACGCUGAAGAGAGGAGCUUGCUCUUCUUGGAUGAGUUGCGAACGGGUGAGUAACGCGUAGGUAACCUGCCUUGUAGCGGGGGAUAACUAUUGGAAACGAUAGCUAAUACCGCAUAACAAUGGAUGACACAUGUCAUUUAUUUGAAAGGGGCAAUUGUUCCACUACAAGAUGGACCUGCGUUGUAUUAGCUAGUAGGUGAGGUAAUGGCUCACCUAGGCGACGAUACAUAGCCGACCUGAGAGGGUGAUCGGCCACACUGGGACUGAGACACGGCCCAGACUCCUACGGGAGGCAGCAGUAGGGAAUCUUCGGCAAUGGGGGCAACCCUGACCGAGCAACGCCGCGUGAGUGAAGAAGGUUUUCGGAUCGUAAAGCUCUGUUGUAAGUCAAGAACGGGUGUGAGAGUGGAAAGUUCACACUGUGACGGUAGCUUACCAGAAAGGGACGGCUAACUACGUGCCAGCAGCCGCGGUAAUACGUAGGUCCCGAGCGUUGUCCGGAUUUAUUGGGCGUAAAGCGAGCGCAGGCGGUUUGAUAAGUCUGAAGUUAAAGGCUGUGGCUCAACCAUAGUUCGCUUUGGAAACUGUCAAACUUGAGUGCAGAAGGGGAGAGUGGAAUUCCAUGUGUAGCGGUGAAAUGCGUAGAUAUAUGGAGGAACACCGGUGGCGAAAGCGGCUCUCUGGUCUGUAACUGACGCUGAGGCUCGAAAGCGUGGGGAGCGAACAGGAUUAGAUACCCUGGUAGUCCACGCCGUAAACGAUGAGUGCUAGGUGUUGGAUCCUUUCCGGGAUUCGGUGCCGCAGCUAACGCAUUAAGCACUCCGCCUGGGGAGUACGACCGCAAGGUUGAAACUCAAAGGAAUUGACGGGGGCCCGCACAAGCGGUGGAGCAUGUGGCUUAAUUCGAAGCAACGCGAAGAACCUUACCUGCUCUUGACAUCCCAUUCGAUAGAAGGUAAUGCUUCUAGCCCUUCGGGGGAAUGGAGACAGGUGGUGCAUGGUUGUCGUCAGCUCGUGUCGUGAGAUGUUGGGUUAAGUCCCGCAACGAGCGCAACCCUUAUUGUCAGUAGCCAGCAGGUGAAGCUGGGCACUCUGAUGAGACUGCCGGGGAUAACCCGGAGGAAGGUGGGGAUGACGUCAAAUCAUCAUGCCCCUUAUGAGCAGGGCUACACACGUGCUACAAUGGCGUAAACAGAGGGAAGCGAAGGAGUGAUCCGGAGCAAAUCUCAAAAAUAACGUCUCAGUUCGGAUUGUAGUCUGCAACUCGACUACAUGAAGCUGGAAUCGCUAGUAAUCGCAGAUCAGAAUGCUGCGGUGAAUACGUUCCCGGGUCUUGUACACGCCGCCCGUCACACCAUGGGAGUCGGUAAUGCCCGAAGUCAGUGACUCAACCAUAAAGGAGAGAGCUGCCGAAGGCAGGACUGGUAACUGGGGUGAAGUCGUAACAAGGUA